AAGUCGAACGAUGACGAAGAGCUUGCUCUUCUGAUUAGUGGCGCACGGGUGAGUAACGCGUGGAUAUCUGCCUAUCAGUGGGGGACAACUACCGGAAACGGUAGCUAAUACCGCAUACGCUGUACGCAGGAAAGCGGGGGAUCUUCGGACCUCGCGCUGAUAGAUGAGUCCGCGUCAGAUUAGCUAGUUGGUGAGGUAAAGGCUCACCAAGGCGAUGAUCUGUAACUGGUUUGAGAGGAUGAUCAGUCACACUGGAACUGAGACACGGUCCAGACUCCUACGGGAGGCAGCAGUGGGGAAUAUUGCACAAUGGGGGAAACCCUGAUGCAGCGACGCCGCGUGCGGGAAGAAGGCCUUCGGGUUGUAAACCGCUUUCAAUUGGGAAGAAGGGAUGAGAGUUAAUAGCUCUCUGACUUGACGGUACCUUUAGAAGAAGCACCGGCUAAUUUCGUGCCAGCAGCCGCGGUAAUACGAAAGGUGCAAGCGUUGUUCGGAUUUACUGGGCGUAAAGAGAUCGUAGGUGGUUUGUUAAGUCGGAUGUGAAAUCCCGGGGCUCAACCCCGGAACUGCAUUCGAUACUGGCAGGCUAGAGUUCGGGAGGGGGAAGCGGAAUUCCGUGUGUAGCAGUGAAAUGCGUAGAUAUACGGAGGAACACCUGAGGCGAAGGCGGCUUCCUGGACCGAUACUGACACUGAGGAUCGAAAGCGUGGGUAGCAAACAGGAUUAGAUACCCUGGUAGUCCACGCCCUAAACGAUGUCUACUAGCCGUAGCGGGUAUCGACCCCUGCUGUGGCGCAGCUAACGCGAUAAGUAGACCGCCUGGGGAGUACGGUCGCAAGAUU
RNAcentral lists this ribosomal RNA (842 nucleotides) under uncultured bacterium. Its description in RNAcentral is "bacterial SSU rRNA". It matches the Rfam family "Bacterial small subunit ribosomal RNA", at positions 59 to 895 of the family's 1533-position model. The record is from RNAcentral.